CCUACGGGCCGCACCAGUAGGGAAUCUUCGGCAAAGGACGAAAGUCUGACCGAGCAACGCCGCGUGAGUGAAGAAGGUUUUCGGAUCGUAAAACUCUGUUGUUAGAGAAGAACAAGUAGGAGAGUAACUGUUCUUACCUUGACGGUAUCUAACCAGAAAGCCACGGCUAACUACGUGCCAGCAGCCGCGGUAAUACGCAGGUGGCAAGCGUUGUCCGGAUUUAUUGGGCGUAAAGCGAGCGCAGGCGGUCUUUUAAGUCUGAUGUGAAAGCCCUCGGCUCAACCGAGGAAGGUCAUUGGAAACUGGAGGACUUGAGUGCAGAAGAGGAGAGUGGAAUUCCAUGUGUAGCGGUGAAAUGCGUAGAUAUAUGGAGGAACACCAGUGGCGAAGGCGACUCUCUGGUCUGUAACUGACGCUGAGGCUCGAAAGCGUGGGGAGCAAACAGGAUUAGAUACCCCAGUAGUC
RNAcentral lists this ribosomal RNA (465 nucleotides) under uncultured bacterium. RNAcentral describes it as "bacterial SSU rRNA". It matches the Rfam family "Bacterial small subunit ribosomal RNA", at positions 338 to 795 of the family's 1533-position model. The record is from RNAcentral.